Long non-coding RNA from Papaver somniferum (opium poppy), 4915 nucleotides. RefSeq lists it as uncharacterized. The transcript has 7 exons. Lineage: Eukaryota; Viridiplantae; Streptophyta; Magnoliopsida; Ranunculales; Papaveraceae. The record is from RefSeq and is a predicted model, not a curated record.
UUGUUAGUUAUUGGCUUGAUUUAAGAAACAUCCUGUUUUAGGAAAGAUCAAACUGAUUUCCUAAUCAGUUUUGCACCUCCUCAAGUAUUUUAGGAAUCUGUUUUCUAAGUUACAUUAGGAAAUAGUUCUCUAUUUAGGACUUCUAUUUCUAGGCAAUUCUAGAUUAUUCCUAGGCUAUAAAUAAGAGUGUAACCCUUUGGUUAUUGUAUCUUAAUCUGAAUUGUAGAGGUGUGUGAAGAAGUCUAUUUUCUAAGUUUCAAUAAGAAGUUUAUUGCUGUAGUGGAGUAGGCACAUUGCCUAACCACUAUAAUUCUUUGUGUUCUUGUUUAAUUCCGCAAUAGUUUUCUGUUUUCUGUGUGAAAGAUCUUGGGGUGUCUAGGAAGUAGCUAAUCUUAGUACAACAAACUGGUAUUAGAGCCAGUUCUAGGGUUUCAUCUAGAGUUAGCUUGUUUGAAGUCAGAAACAGAGUUUGAAGGUGAAGAUGUCUAAGUCGAUGUCGAACGCGAAGUUUGAAGUAGAGAAAUUUGAUGGUAAGAACAAUUUUACUUACCAUGUGGCAAUGUGAAGUUCGUGAUGCUUUGAGUCAGUAAGACAUAGAGGAUGCUCUAUUAGAAGCAAAACCUGCUGCACCAGAGAUGACAGACAAUGAAUGAACAUAGAUGAAUCGUCAGGCUUGUAGUACAAUCCGUUUGUGCCUUACAAAGGAGAUAAAGUACGAUGUGAUGAAUGAGAAUGUAGCUUUCAAGCUAUGGAAGAAUCUGGAAGACAAGUAUGUAGCGAAAAGUGUUUCAAAUCGAAUUAUGAUGCAGAGAAGACUUUUCAGAUUCAACAAAAAACCAGGUACCUCUAUGGUUGAACACCUCGAGUACAAUAAAUUAAUUGCUGAUGCACUUAAUAUUGGUGUGAAACUAAAAGAUGAAACCAAAACUUGCUGUUUUUUUGGCAUCUCUGCCUGAUUCGUAUGAAACUUUCAUUGAUAGUUUAUCGAAUAAGAUAGAGGAUAAAACAUUCUUGUUUGAUGAUGUGACUGCUGCACGUAUAAGUUAUGAUAUUAGGCAAAGGGAUAUAGAUUUGAAUAGGGAAUAUGACUAGUGAGGUCUUGCCAGUAAGAGGGAAGUCUGACAAGAAGAAUUCAAGUAAAUCAAGUUUCAAACCGAAGUCCAAAUCAAAGAUCCCAGCAUAUGAUGAAUGCUCCUUUUGUCAUUAGACUAGACAUUGGAAGAAGGAUUGUCCUAAAGCAAGGAACAAGGAUAAGAAGAAUUUAGACGUAAACGUUGCUGAAAUCAAGUUUGGUGCUAUUGAAGAUGAUGAAUAUGACAAGUUCUCGAUGACUGUUCAUGAUUCCGCGUUAGUUGCAGAUACAACGCAGUGAAUUAUGGAUUGCGCAGCUUCCUACCAUAUGUGCCCUAUGAAGGACUGGUUCGUUAAGUUUGAAAAAUUUGAUGGACCAAGGGUGUUUAUGGGUAACAAUAAUACCUGUAAAGUUGAAGGGAUUGGGAAGAUUCAUUUGAAGAUGAAUGGUGGCGUUGUUCAAGAACUUGAAGAUGUUCGUUAUGUACCGGAAAUGAAGAAAAAUCUGAUCUCAGUAGGUGAACUAGACUCCCGAGGAUUUGAGAUGACAUUGAAAGGUGGAGUUUUGAAGGUCUAAUCCAAUGAGCUAGUUGUUAUGAAAGGUUUGAAACAUGGAAACUUGUAUUUUCUGCAAGGAAACACAAGUGUGAGUGAAGGAAUUGCAGCAGUAUCAGAUAGUGUUGAGUCGGACACUACCAAACUAUGCCAUAUGCGUUUAGAGCUACCUAAAGGAGAAAAGGCAAUUGGAUGCAAGUGGGUAUAUACAAAGAAGGAUCUCCAAGUGCAAGCAAUGUAAGAUACAAAGCAAGGUUGGUAGCUAAGGGCUACGCGCAGAGGAAAGGGAUCGACUAUAAUGAAGUGUUUUCUCCAGUGGUAACGCAUACUUCCAUUAGAAUUUUACUUGCUUUGGUGGCGCAGUUUGGUCUUGAGCUUGUACUACUCGAUGUGAAAACUGCUUACAUGGUGACUUGGAGGAGACGAUUUAUAUGAAGCAACCUGAAGGUUUUGAAGUAGCGGGUAAAGAAGAUAGGGUAUGUAACUUGAAGAGAUCGUUGUAUGGCUUUAAGCAGUCUCCAAGGCAGUGGUACAAACGAUUCGACAAGUUUAUGAAGACAUAAAAGUACUCAAGCAGCAACUAUGACUCUUGUGUGUACUUCAAAAAGCUCAAAGAUGAAUCAUUUAUCUACCUACUUUUAUACGUAGAUGACAUGCUUAUUGCGUCUAAAAGUGAGGUGGAGAUUCAAUGAUUGAAAAAUCAGCUUAGUAGUGAAUUUGAGAUGAAAGAUCUCGGUAAAGCAAGGAAAAUUUUGGGCAUGGAAAUUGAGAGAGAUAGGAGAUCAGACACUAUUAAUCUUUCUCAAAAAUCUUAUUUGAAAAAGCUAUUCAAGCGUUUUGGUUUAGAUGACAAGGCUAAACCAGUAACACAACCUCUAGCUCGACACUUUAAGUUGAAUGUUGAACAGUCACCAAAAACAGUGGAGGAGCAGAGGUUAAUGGCUGAAAUACCGUACACAAGUGCUGCUGGAAGCCUUAUGUAUGCUAUGGUAUGCACUAGGCCUGAUAUUUCACAAGCUGUUAGUGUGGUUAGUAGAUAUAUGCAUAAUCCAGGAACACUGGCUGUGAAGUGGAUUUUGCGGUAUAUUUAAGGUACCGUAGAUGUUGGAUUGAAGUUCUCACGAAAUGAGAGAACUGGUUGCAAAGUAGUAGGAUAUUGUAAUUCCGAUUAUGCUGACGAUUUGGACAAGUUUCGGUCCAUUACUAGGUAUGUUUUUACAGCUGUGAGUGGGCCGAUAAGUUGGAGGUCAACCUUACAACCAACACUAGCAUUGUCGACACCCGAAGCUGAAUAUAUGGCUGUUGUAGAAGGUAUAAGGGAAGCCGUUUGGAUGAAAGGUUUGUUUGAGGAGUUGGGGAUUCAGCAAGAGAAACUAAGCGUGUUGACAGUCAAACAUACACCUAGCUAAGAACCAGGUUUAUCACGCUCGAACAAAGCACAUCAAUGUACGAUAUCAUAAAGUACGGAAAAUUGUUGAAGAAGGUGAAAUUCAGCUGGAAAAGGUUGGAACCGCCAACAAUCCAGCAGAUAUGCUCACCAAAGUGGUGACAGGUGAAAAGUUUAGGCAUUGUCUAAACUUGAUCAGCAUUGUGCAUAUUUGAAGACACCUUAGGGUGUAGUGGUGCUGUCAAGCACAUGUGAAGCCCAAAAAGGAAGUGAAGCAUCUUAUAAUGAGUGAAGAAGUGAAGCAUCUAAGGAUGACCGAAAGCAGCAAAGUUUGAAGGAAAUGAAAUGUCAGAUUUCAUGCCAAGGUGGAGAAAUUAGAGAAUAGGGAAGUUGUCCUAGAAAUCUUGCCAAGGUGGAGAAUUGUUAGUUAUUGGCUUGAACACCCUGUUUUAGGAAAGAUCUAAUUGAUUUCCGUAAAUCAGUUUUGCACCUCCUCAAGUAUUUUAGGAAUCUGUUUUCUAAGUUACAUUAGGAAAUAGUUCUCUAUUUAGGACUUCUAUUUCUAGGCAAUUCUAGAUUAUUCCUAGGCCUACAAAUAAGAGUGUAACCCUUUGGUUAUUGUAUCUCAGUCUGAAUUGUAGAGGUGUGUGAAGAAGUCCAUUCUCUAAGUUUCAAUAAGAAGUUUAUUGCUGCAGUGGAGUAGGCACAUUGCCGAACCACUAUAAUUCUUUGUGUUCUUGUUUAAUUCCGCUAUAGUUUCCUGUUUUCUGUGUGAAAGAUCUUGGGGUGUCUAGGAAGUAGCUAAUCUUAGCACAACAGUCUUGUAUUAUCACAUUUUGGCUUUCUGUUUUUUAUAUCAUAGUUCUGAGGUUUACAUAGAUUUCUGUUGGUUAUAAUUGGUAUGCUCCUGUUGGCCGUUCAUUCUAUUCCCCCAACUUGGGGAGAAGACAGUCACUUGGUGAAGGUUUGGAAAGUUGGAGAGGUUUUUACCAGAGUAUUCGCCCGACUCAAAUGGGUCUUUCAUUGAAUAUAGAUAUGUCUUCCACGGCUUUCAUUGAGCCAUUACCUCUGAUACAAUUUGUUACCCAGCUCCUGAAUAGGGUUGCACUUGCUCGACCCUUGUCUGAUGCUGAUCGAGUCAAGGUGUGAAGGUUGAAGUAACUCACCGAGGAAGUAUGUGCAGAAAGUACCGUAUAUUUGGAUUAACCUCUCAGGCAACUAGAGAGCUGACUUUCCCUGUUGACGAAAAGGGUACCAUGAAGUCCGUUGUUGAAUAUUUUGGCGAGACUUAUGGAUUUUCUAUUCAGCACACACAUUGGCCCUGUUCGCUAGUUGAAAUCAACAAAGGCCAAUUAUCCUCCCAUGGAGGUUAAUACACACUCGAGCUUUUUUCUGUUGCUUUGAAGUUCUCUAGGUUUGUAAAAUUGUGAAGGGUCACAGGUACUCGAAAAGACUCAAUGAACGCCAGAAACUGCUCUUUUGAAGGUUACAUGUCACCAGCCACAGGAAAGGGAGAAAGAUACUAUGCAGACUUUUCGCCACAAUGCUUAUUACGAGGACCCGUUCGCUAAGGAAUUUGGAAUAAAAAUCAGUGAUAAGCUUGCUCAUGUUGAGGCUCGCAUUCUUCCUGCCCCAUGGCUUAAGUACAGUGAAAGUGGUAGAGAGAGAGAGAGAUUGCUUGCCCCAAGUCGGGCAAUGGAAUAUGAUGAACAGGAAAAUGGUUAAUGGGGGUGUUGUCAACAACUGGAUGUGUUUCAACUUUUCACGCAAUGUGACUCGUGGUUUUUGUUAUGAGCUUGCCCAGAUGUGUAAUUCAUAUUUCACACUGUGUUGGACAACUAUUAUCUUUGGUGCUGAUGUGACCCAUCCUCACCCGGGAGAGGAUUCAAGCCCCUUCAUUGC